RNAcentral lists this long non-coding RNA (1091 nucleotides) under Brachypodium distachyon (stiff brome). Its description in RNAcentral is "long non-coding RNA (BDIS_LNC003551)". The record is from RNAcentral. Lineage: Eukaryota; Viridiplantae; Streptophyta; Magnoliopsida; Poales; Poaceae.
GUGAUCGGAACGGGUACGUGGUUGACAAUUUCGUGCUGUCUAGUUCACACGUCUGGCUGAAUUUAUCUGUUCCACCGUGUGCGCCGAUGUUAUAUACUGUAUCUCGGGAAUUUCAGUUUGAUGGAGUGUUAACACAUCUGGUGGUGAAUAAAACCCAAAAUUAUUGAUGUUCCCCGGAAUUAAGAGCCAAGAUAUGCCCGUAUCAACUCAAUGACGUCUACUGUCAGUCGAUUCGAUAUGAUAUGAUUCGAGUGGCCGACGAUCGGAAUGUCCCGCAGCUGGCCGUGGAACUCUUUUGGAAGGGCGUCCGUGGAUGCUACUGAUUAGGACGAGAGGACGCGUUUGCAACGCGUAUAUACCAUGAGCUUCCGUAAACAGCUUGUUUCAUCGAUCGUUAGGUUGUGGAUCAGUCUCACCUAACAUGAUUAGCUUUUUUAAGCCGCGUGCGUGGGUAUAACAGAUCAGGUAAAUACUGGUAUACCAGUAUAUUGGUUUGACUAUAAUUAACUUCCAAAGCAUAGGUAUACUCCUCCGUAGUAGGAGUACUAAUCUGACUCGAUCGGUACGUGUUACUCCAACUGUAUCUGUGCAAGUGCAGUGCCCGCUAAUGUCAACAUGCGAUCCACGUCCCCCUCCAUGUAGCCCAAGUUGUGACCAUGGAAAUAGUUUUCACUACGGUCCCUCGCUCUCAAGCUUGCCUUUUCUGGGUCUUGGAAUCCGAUCUUAAAGCCAAAUGACGGGAGAGAACUCCGUAAAAAAAAAACCGUUCAAAAAAAAAUGACGGGAGAGAACCAAAGUCAAAUGUAUAUUUGCGUAGCAAAGGAAAUAUUCUUCUCCCAGAUGCUUUGCGGUAGUGCUAGAUAUGCUACGAACAUCACAAGAAGCUCGAAAGCAACUUAAUUGGCUGGGGGCGCUGGGCCAGUUCAUUCACCUGCCUGUUGUUCUUUGCGAGAUCACGUAUGCACGUCCCUGUGGGUAUCCAAUUGGCAGAUUAAACAUCCGAUCGGCACAUUAUUUAUUAUCAAUUUUACGGUCUCACCCACUCCUGUUUUUAAAUUGGAGGCACAAAGAGAAAUACUCGAGUAGCUAGG